This 237-nucleotide ribosomal RNA is filed under the name Salmonella enterica subsp. enterica serovar Typhimurium. RNAcentral's name for it is "partial 23S ribosomal RNA". It matches the Rfam family "Bacterial large subunit ribosomal RNA", at positions 1206 to 1447 of the family's 2925-position model. Lineage: Bacteria; Pseudomonadati; Pseudomonadota; Gammaproteobacteria; Enterobacterales; Enterobacteriaceae. The record is from RNAcentral.
AUUGUCCUUUGGACAAUGGUAGGAGAGCGUUCUAAGGGCGUCGAAGCAUGAUCGCAAGGACAUGUGGAGCGCUUAGAAGUGAGAAUGCCGGUGUGAGUAGCGAAAGACGGGUGAGAAUCCCGUCCACCGAUUGACUAAGGUUUCCAGAGGAAGGCUCGUCCGCUCUGGGUUAGUCGGGUCCUAAGCUGAGGCCGACAGGCGUAGGCGAUGGAUAACAGGUUGAUAUUCCUGUACCAC